UUGCAGGCUGCAACUCGCCUGUAUGAAGUCGGAAUUGCUAGCAAUCGUGGAUCAGCAUGCCACGGUGAAUACGUUCCCGGGCCUUGUACACACCGCCCGUCACACCAUGAGAGCCGGGGACACCCGAAGUCCGUAGUCUAACCUAUAUGGAGGACGCGGCCGAAGGUGGGUUUGGUAAUUGGGGUGAAGUCGUAACAAGGUAGC
RNAcentral lists this ribosomal RNA (204 nucleotides) under uncultured bacterium. RNAcentral's name for it is "partial 16S ribosomal RNA". It matches the Rfam family "Bacterial small subunit ribosomal RNA", at positions 1298 to 1500 of the family's 1533-position model. The record is from RNAcentral.